Molecule: ribosomal RNA, 746 nt
Filed under: uncultured bacterium
Lineage: Bacteria
Description: bacterial SSU rRNA
Rfam family: Bacterial small subunit ribosomal RNA
Source: RNAcentral
GGGGAUAUAUUGGAAUGAGGAUUCGUCUGAAGGAAAAUGUAUCUUAGUGGCGGACGGGUGAGUAACGCGUGGGCAACCUACCGUAUACGGGGGGAUAACACUUAAAAAUAGGUGCUAAUACCGGCAUAAGCGCACAGCCAGUGCAUACUGGAGUGUGAAAAGCCGAGACGGUAUACGAUGGGCCCGCGUCUGAUUAGCCAGUUGGCAGGGUAACGGCCUACCAAAGCGACGAUCAGUAGCCGGCCUGAGAGGGCGGACGGCCACAUUGGGACUGAGACACGGCCCAGACUCCUACGGGAGGCAGCAGUGGGGGAUAUUGCACAAUGGGGGGAACCCUGAUGCAGCGACGCCGCGUGAGUGAAGAAGUAAUUCGUUAUGUAAAGCUCUAUCAGCAGGGAAGAAUAAAUGACGGUACCUGAGUAAGAAGCCCCGGCUAACUACGUGCCAGCAGCCGCGGUAAUACGUAGGGGGCAAGCGUUAUCCGGAUUUACUGGGUGUAAAGGGAGCGUAGACGGCGAUGCAAGCCAGAUGUGAAAGCCCGCGGCUCAACUGCGGUAGUGCAUUUGGAACUGUAUGGCUGGAGUGCAGGAGAGGCAGGCGGAAUUCCUAGUGUAGCGGUGAAAUGCGUAGAUAUUAGGAGGAACACCAGUGGCGAAGGCGGCCUGCUGGACUGUAACUGACGUUGAGGCUCGAAAGCGUGGGGAGCAUACAGGAUUAGAUACCCUGGUAGUCCACGCUGUAAACGA